Long non-coding RNA from Trichosurus vulpecula (common brushtail), 439 nucleotides. RefSeq lists it as uncharacterized. Lineage: Eukaryota; Metazoa; Chordata; Mammalia; Diprotodontia; Phalangeridae. The record is from RefSeq and is a predicted model, not a curated record. The transcript is spliced from 4 exons.
AUAUAAGUGACUUACCCAAGAUUACACAGCUAAUGGACCACAGUCGGUGUGCUCAGUUGGUACCCAUGUCAUGACAGGAGCUCUAAAGGAAGACUGCCAGGACAUUAUGAGGCCCUUCUUCUCCAGAAGAGGAUUUGCCUGAGGACAUGGAAAGGAAUCCCACUGAGUCCCAGGAGAGAGAAAUUUCGCUUCCAUUACCUCCACUGACAAGAUGCAGUUUAUAAAUGAGACACCAGUGAACACAACCAACAAUGAUUAUUUUUCAAAGAAAGAGAUUAAAAAGUAAACUUGGAUUCUGGGUGAGAACACUACAAGCAACUAAAACACAGUGCUGAUGAAUGAGAAAGAAACAAGGUUUAACUACAUGGUCCUGGAAAAAAAGAAGAAAACACCAUGAAACCACCUAUUUUAUAGGACCCACUUCAGGCACUAAAUCAUC